CAACCCUCAAGCUCUGCUUGGUCUUGGGCACUGCCGGUAACGGCUUGCCUUAAAACUAGUGGCGGUGCCAUUCGAGCUCUACGCGUAGUAACAUAACCCUCGCGAUUGAGUCUUGGUGGAUACUUGCCAGCAAUCUUUAAUUUUUUUGG
This 149-nucleotide unclassified non-coding RNA is filed under the name uncultured Helotiales. RNAcentral's name for it is "sequence contains ITS2". Lineage: Eukaryota; Fungi; Ascomycota; Leotiomycetes; Helotiales. The record is from RNAcentral.